UCCCAUCUUCAUCAAUAAUUU
RNAcentral lists this non-coding RNA (21 nucleotides) under Caenorhabditis elegans. The record is from RNAcentral. Lineage: Eukaryota; Metazoa; Nematoda; Chromadorea; Rhabditida; Rhabditidae.